This is a non-coding RNA of Pelobates cultripes (western spadefoot toad), 243 nucleotides long. NCBI's taxonomy places the organism in Eukaryota, Metazoa, Chordata, Amphibia, Anura, Pelobatidae. The record is from the annotation of a GenBank genome assembly.
GCCAGAGUGAGGCGCGAAACCCCAGUAAAAGGCAGUUUUGACCCCCACAUUUACAUAGAUGCCAUUGGGGUACCUAGGGGGGUGCCUAAUGAAUUUAAAACUAGAGAUGAAGUAGCUCUAGGUUUUGAAUCACUGUUCACUAUAGUCACUGCCAACAAAAACCUUAAUUGGAUUAACUACAUUUAUUACAACCAACAGCGCUUCGUGAACUACACCAGGGAUGCCCUCCAGGGCUUGGCCGAG